GUGGGGAAUUUUGGACAAUGGGCGAAAGCCUGAUCCAGCCAUGCCGCGUGCAGGAUGAAGGCCUUCGGGUUGUAAACUGCUUUUGUACGGAACGAAAAGACUCCUUCUAAUAAAGGGGGUCCAUGACGGUACCGUAAGAAUAAGCACCGGCUAACUACGUGCCAGCAGCCGCGGUAAUACGUAGGGUGCAAGCGUUAAUCGGAAUUACUGGGCGUAAAGCGUGCGCAGGCGGUUUUGUAAGACAGGCGUGAAAUCCCCGGGCUCAACCUGGGAAUUGCGCUUGUGACUGCAAGGCUGGAGUGCGGCAGAGGGGGAUGGAAUUCCGCGUGUAGCAGUGAAAUGCGUAGAUAUGCGGAGGAACACCGAUGGCGAAGGCAAUCCCCUGGGCCUGCACUGACGCUCAUGCACGAAAGCGUGGGGAGCAAACAGGAUUAGAAACCCUGGUAGUCC
Molecule: ribosomal RNA, 450 nt
Filed under: uncultured bacterium
Lineage: Bacteria
Description: partial 16S ribosomal RNA
Rfam family: Bacterial small subunit ribosomal RNA
Source: RNAcentral